Molecule: transfer RNA, 72 nt
Filed under: Alphaproteobacteria bacterium
Lineage: Bacteria; Pseudomonadati; Pseudomonadota; Alphaproteobacteria
Description: tRNA-Thr
Rfam family: tRNA
About the family: Transfer RNA (tRNA) molecules are approximately 80 nucleotides in length. Their secondary structure includes four short double-helical elements and three loops (D, anti-codon, and T loops).
Source: RNAcentral
GCCGGGAUAGCUCAGCUGGUAGAGCAGCGCAUUCGUAAUGCGCGGGUCGUAGGUUCGAAUCCUAUUCCCGGC